UUGAGAUGGGUAAUCGAAAUAUUAGAUUUCCAAUCUCAUUACUAUUGAAAAUAACUUCAAAUGGGAUUAUAGUGCGUUUCUAUUGACUUCAAACGAAAUUUUCGGAUAGGAAUAGCGACCAGCGUUGAAUUAGAGAAUCGAAAGCGAUCCGACCUAAUUAAUUUAUUCGCAUGUGGAGAACGCAUCGUUAUUGAUUGAUUAGCAGACGCGGCCUAAACCGCGGAAUAAUUUUCAUUUCGCAUAUAGGGGGGAAUACUCAGACACGACAUGUUCGUUUUUACCGACCGAACCCGACGCGGAUGAUUCUUUUUUCGUUUUUCGGCGCGCGAAACCGUGGCGCAAAGGAAGAAGAAGGGGAGAGACGUAGUAGAGUAUGAUGACAGCGGAAAGACACGACCACCAUAGAGAGAAUGUCGAUCUCGUUUUUGCGAACGGUUGGAAGACACGCGGAAUGGACGUUUGUCGAUAUCGUUUACACGAACGACACGUACGUAUAAGUUACGAUGAUGUGAGGCAGAUCCAUUAGACUAUGCAAUUGUCCACGUAUUGCAUUGUCAGCCACCAUAGAGAUUUCUAUUCAGAAAUCGCGGAAGUCCCCGGAUGCAUUGACGAGAGGUAGAGGAUGAUCGAGGACCGCUCUUGUUGCGAGAAGGAAAGAGACACGAGAGAGACGGAAUACCAUGAUCGACCAGGAUACUGGUUACUCGUAUUUCCCUUUUUUCCCUCUCUCCCUAAUUGUCAUGCGUGAUAUUCGUUUCUACAGAAGUCAAGAAUUUUUUCUACUGUGUGUGCAUGUAUUAGAAAUUGUCAAAAAUUUUAUUUUAAUUGACAUUAUUUCUUUAUCCGGGAUCCAGGAAUUUUCUAUCUAACUAGAGCAUUUAUACGAAGCAUCGGUGGUUUUAUUUAAAUACCCGGGAAGAAUUCAGUGGCCAAAAAAUCGGCGAACCGUAAAGAAAGAUUCACGGAUAAAAAGGGGAUCCGUUUGAUCGCGGACCAGCGCUUGAAGCGUGGUGAAAAACCAGUCCCGACCGUAUCACUCCGUUUCUUUGGUCAGGAUCGGGCCAAACAAUUAAACUCGAAUGAGAAAAUCUCUUUUGAUGGCGAUGCACUGCGAUGAACGCACGACGGACAUAUUAGUAUAAUAAGCGACGAUCUGUGUACGCAUAUAUAGAUUAUGGUAACAAAGAGGAUGAAUGAAAGAAACGACAGAGAUAGCAGUAGCAAUGAUGAAAAGAACUAGAUGUACAGAUAUACACGCCACCACAUUGCGUAUGAUCGUGGCGACGAGAAGAACCAAUUGGUCUGUGAUCACGAACACACAUGCACAUAUACGUACUACGGAAGGAAGCGAGAGCGGAAAAAGUGAAGAAGUGAGAGCGAUAAGGAAAGCAGAUCGAAGGAAGGAGGAAGGGAAUCCAAUAUAACUGCACACACGUUUAUAGGGUCGAUGGGAAUAUAUUGGAGCGGAUAUUGAAAUACUUGUUGGUAGUUUGAGUCGAAGGCGAGAGAUGCCUUUCUCGAUGCCAUCUUGAUUGCGCAAUCGAGGCAUCGGUCCACGAGUACAGAAUUUAACGAUAAAGAUCGUACGGAUUAUAGAAUCCUAGACGGGGAACAAAGUCCCCUUCCUAUCUAUCCUCCUUUCCCAGGUUUUGUGCCUUUAUCGGUAUUACGAACCUCAACUUCUUGUUGUUUACCACAUCGUUUCUUUAAACGAGAUGUUAUGUUACAAUUACAAUCUAACUUCGUCAUAUAUUUU
This 1756-nucleotide long non-coding RNA is filed under the name Apis florea (little honeybee). RNAcentral describes it as "uncharacterized LOC100871692, transcript variant X1". Lineage: Eukaryota; Metazoa; Arthropoda; Insecta; Hymenoptera; Apidae. The record is from RNAcentral.